RNAcentral lists this unclassified non-coding RNA (213 nucleotides) under Hevea brasiliensis (rubber tree). The record is from RNAcentral. Lineage: Eukaryota; Viridiplantae; Streptophyta; Magnoliopsida; Malpighiales; Euphorbiaceae.
GUUUGUAUGCCCAGAGUAUUUCAAGUCUGAUUUCGUAUACCGGACUUUGUGGUUGCAGGAUAGCCCAUCAGAAGAUAUUACUAGUAUUCUCUAUGAUGUUUUUGACUACUUUGAAGAUGUCAGGGAGCAACAUGGGAAGGUUUUUGUUCAUUGCUGCCAAGGGGUCUCUCGGUCAACCUCGUUGGUUAUUGCUUAUCGUAUGUGGAGAGAAGG